Molecule: long non-coding RNA, 3034 nt
Organism: Plodia interpunctella (Indianmeal moth)
Lineage: Eukaryota; Metazoa; Arthropoda; Insecta; Lepidoptera; Pyralidae
Exons: 2
Source: RefSeq, a predicted model, not a curated record
CGUGUUUCAUAUAUUCAUAUAUCAUAUAUAUAACAUAUUAUAUUCCGUAUCAAUGUACCGUACCUUGACGUUGGCAAAAUCAUCGUUUUGGCGAACGAUGGAGCCAUGAAAUUAAAAAAAAAGUCAUUGUCGCAUUUCUUGGUUCGGUAGUUCUUAAAAUCACAAGCGAUACAAAAUACGAAAUUAGUGUCUUCUAAUUUCGUAUUUUUAACAAAAUUCAGCAAAUAAUUAGAGCCGUUCCAUACAAGCGAUUUUAUGUACUAUUUGGUUCAGUUGUGUUGUCAUGGUUAUGUUUUAUGCAGGUCGUGAAUAUUGAAUUUAUCAUGAAGCCGAUUUAUAACAAAUGCAAUCUGGGCCAGUACAUUGGAGAAUGCAUCAAAUACAUGGAAAACAAAAUACUACACAGAACUUAUUGCACAAUGCUAGAACUGAACAGUAUAAUUCCUGCACAACCAGUGACCAAUUUUUAUGAUGAGAAUUUUCCUAUUGUGUGAUAGAUAUGACAAGAAAUAUUAUGAAUUGCAUUUGUUGACCAGAAUGUAUUACUUUCUAUACUACUCAUAGGAAACUAAAAGAAAAUCUACAAAAGAUGUGAAAUAUCUCCCAAUACAAUCUUAUGAGAAUAAGAAGAAUAACGAAUUGAAGAAAAUUUGCAGUUUUGCACUUCCUGAAUUAACUGAGAAACAAUAUUGCUAGUUUUAUUUGUAUAUAUCUAUUUCAUGGUGGCUUUAAUAAUGACUAGCACUGAGAAAUGAAGAGCAAUUGAGAAACUAUUUGCCCCAUAUUCAAAUGAAAAGUUGUUCUGAAUGGUGUUCUAACUGGUAUCUCUGGUAUCUUUCUUGGCCUGAAUCAGCUGAGAUAUUCUUUAUAGAACUGUUUUCUUACUCGUAACAAUAAGUAAAAUAAUCCCUAUUACACGUGCGAAAUAUUCCAAUAGUGCAUUUGCAUCUGACAAAUUGGCAAUGAAUACAGUUCAAAUAUUUGCCUGCACUGGUAAAUUUCUAGCACAAGCACAUAUUUGUACUUUCAUUGAUUGUUAUUUAUCUGCUGUUCUCAGUGUGUUGUGACCAUUUCUUUAUCUGUCCAUUGGACCUGCAAUACAAGCUUAGUCUGGGACAUUGAGUGUUGUGUAUAUACUCUAGUCAUUUCUCUCAUUUUGAUGCAUGUCAUCAAGUUUGUAAUAUAAAGAAUAAUGAUAAUAUAAAUUAUCGCAAAUAAUAUGUGAUAAUUUAUAUUAUUAUAAUACUGUCCUGGUAUUUUCAGAGUAAUUUUAGGGACAAGUUAGUGACAAAAUAUUGCGUCUAUAUCCUCCUAAGACCCUGCAUACUACUUAAAGAACAAAAUGACUACCAGAUUUGAGUCCUGCCUAUACAAAGCAAUAUAUCGUCUAUGCGCUUGCCAAAUCUGAUAUGUGCAUUAGAAAAACUUUUCAGGACAACAUAAAAACUUUUUUAUUUGUAAAAUAUUAUCUUCUGAAAUAAUAAAUAUAUGUCCAAAUAUAGCAGAACUAUAUUUUUGUCUAAUACAGUAAACAUGUUAUUACACUCGUAUAUGAAUGCAAAAAUAUUUCAAGUUUUGUUUGCUGCCUCAAAUGAUGAUAUGUGCCCAAAAGCACAUGUAAGAUUGUGUAAGGUUAUCUGUGAGAUUGGUGUUAGAAAAUUAUGCAUACUAUGUGCUUAAGUAAGCCCAUACCAAAUUCAGAUGACAGAGUCUGUGAUGCCAUAAUUCCUGUGAUGGCUCAGCUCCACACAGAUUUGCAAUUUCAAUAGCGUCUGACUGCUGUCCAUCAGUAGACGAGUGAAUCUCCGCUAAUGGUUGCCUUGAAACCAUAAUCUGAUACGCUCCAAUCAACUCGCUUCCAUCUGCUUCUGUGUCCAGUUGGUAGACUCCAUUCAUCUUCAUAGCACUUGCAACAACAACCUUUCCAUAGUAUAUUUUACAUUCAUGUGUCUCAAAGUGCACCUCUAAUCCUUUUUCUGUAAUUUUGUUGACAAUUCCGGUACGAAAAUAACCUCAAUUAAUUUGGUACUUUGUUUACAUCCUUUCGUGUAUAGUUCUACUUCACCAUGUCCUUCACUGUAUAUUUUAUGGUUAUUAGCCACUGUCACCAACCGCGGAGAGUGCUCAACAUAGUUUUUCAGAAUAUUUUUGUUGUUUGUCAUCAGUGUUGCCACCGAAGUAUCAAGCUCUAGAAGCGACCUCUAAAACCACCAGAAAUCCACUAACAAAACUCGCGCCAGUUUAAAAAAAAUCGCAAAUUUUUCCACCAACUUUAGGUAUUUUUAACAAAUUUUUGUCUCGAAAGAAAAUAAUAUUUAAAAGAUACGUUUAUUGGAGAAAUAACAUUAAAAUUACACAUUAUGUAACAAAAAUAAUGAAAUUAUAUUAUUCAGUCAUCAAGUCAUCUUCAGAUGAGUCGUUUCCGUCCGUACCAUUAUCGUCAGUCUCCGAUUGGUACGACUCUUUGGUGCUAAUUAAUAUCACAAUAUUGUUUGGGAUUUCAUAGUCGUUGCAGCAUUUUCCCGCUAUCUUAUCAGCGUACUCUUAAAAUAGCACUUAAAAGAUUAAGCCCCAUCCUGUUUCUCUGCUCGUUUUUUAUUAUAUUCAUACUGCUAAACAGUCUUUCCACAUCGGCGUUGGAAUGCGGCAAUAUUAAAAGAGUGAUCGCAAAAGUCGCCAAUUCGUAAAAUCUUGAAAGCCCUUGUGCAUCUUUGAAAUGCAGGACUUCAUACCAAAAUAUUUUUGUAUUUUUGGUUUCCUGCCAUUCCAAUAAAUGGAUUUGUCGCCAUUGAUCGUCCACUUUCGCAAUGAAUUCAGAACUUUUAUUUAAUUGAGCCAUAAUGUCAACUAGAUCUUCUUUGUUAUGACUAAAGUGCUUUUUCGACACUUAUUUGCGAAUUUUUUUUCAUUAAUUCGACAUUUUCUGGAAGCCUAUUUUUUAUUUCGUCAAUUAAACUCACUAUAAAUUGCAUGCACCGAGUCCGCACUAUUUCUUCUUCUUCCCUUGGUAAUCCCUUUUCUCGCAUUUCGAGUA